RNAcentral lists this ribosomal RNA (253 nucleotides) under uncultured bacterium. RNAcentral describes it as "partial 16S ribosomal RNA". It matches the Rfam family "Bacterial small subunit ribosomal RNA", at positions 524 to 776 of the family's 1533-position model. The record is from RNAcentral.
GACAGAGGGGGCAAGCGUUGCUCGGAAUUACUGGGCGUAAAGGGCGCGUAGGCGGGAUGGCAAGUCGGUCGUGAAAUCCCUCGGCUCAACCGAGGAACGUCGAUCGAUACUGCUGUUCUUGAGGAUUGCAGAGGAGACUGGAAUUCCCGGUGUAGCGGUGAAAUGUGUAGAGAUCGGGAGGAACACCGGUGGCGAAGGCGCUCUGCUGGACCAUAACUGACACUCAGGGACGAAAGCUAGGGGAGCGAACGGG